CCUACGGGUGGCAGCAGUGGGGAAUAUUGGACAAUGGGCGAAAGCCUGAUCCAGCCAUGCCGCGUGUGUGAAGAAGGCCUUCGGGUUGUAAAGCACUUUCAGUGGGGAAGAAAGCCUUGGGGCUAAUACCCUCGAGGAAGGACAUCACCCACAGAAGAAGCACCGGCUAACUCCGUGCCAGCAGCCGCGGUAAUACGGAAGGUGCGAGCGUUAAUCGGAAUUACUGGGCGGAAAGCGCGCGUAGGCGGUCUGAUAAGCCGGUUGGGAAAGCCCCGGGCUCAACCUGGGAACGGCAUCCGGAACUGUCAGGCUAGAGUGCAGGAGAGGAAGGUAGAAUUCCCGGUGUAGCGGUGAAAUGCGUAGAGAUCGGGAGGAAUACCAGUGGCGAAGGCGGCCUUCUGGACCGACACUGACGCUGAGGUGCGAAAGCGUGGGUAGCAAACAGGAUUAGAUACCCCGGUAGUC
This 465-nucleotide ribosomal RNA is filed under the name Vreelandella stevensii. Its description in RNAcentral is "partial 16S ribosomal RNA". It matches the Rfam family "Bacterial small subunit ribosomal RNA", at positions 338 to 795 of the family's 1533-position model. The record is from RNAcentral. Lineage: Bacteria; Pseudomonadati; Pseudomonadota; Gammaproteobacteria; Oceanospirillales; Halomonadaceae.